Molecule: non-coding RNA, 69 nt
Organism: Kibdelosporangium aridum
Lineage: Bacteria; Bacillati; Actinomycetota; Actinomycetes; Pseudonocardiales; Pseudonocardiaceae
Rfam family: ASpks TB sRNA
Source: Rfam
CUUCACCGAACCCAACGCCAGCGGACGAUCCCGAUUCUGCCCGUACGCAGCCAGCAACGCCUGCGCCUC